Molecule: ribosomal RNA, 366 nt
Filed under: Klebsiella pneumoniae
Lineage: Bacteria; Pseudomonadati; Pseudomonadota; Gammaproteobacteria; Enterobacterales; Enterobacteriaceae
Description: bacterial SSU rRNA
Rfam family: Bacterial small subunit ribosomal RNA
Source: RNAcentral
GCAAGACCAAAGUGGGGGACCUUCGGGCCUCAUGCCAUCAGAUGUGCCCAGAUGGGAUUAGCUAGUAGGUGGGGUAACGGCUCACCUAGGCGACGAUCCCUAGCUGGUCUGAGAGGAUGACCAGCCACACUGGAACUGAGACACGGUCCAGACUCCUACGGGAGGCAGCAGUGGGGAAUAUUGCACAAUGGGCGCAAGCCUGAUGCAGCCAUGCCGCGUGUGUGAAGAAGGCCUUCGGGUUGUAAAGCACUUUCAGCGGGGAGGAAGGCGCUAAGGUUAAUAACCUUGGCGAUUGACGUUACCCGCAGAAGAAGCACCGGCUAACUCCGUGCCAGCAGCCGCGGUAAUACGGAGGGUGCAAGCGUU